AUGAACGCUGGCGGCGUGCCUAACACAUGCAAGUCGAACGAAGCACCUUACCUGAUUCUUCGGAUGAAAGUUUGGUGACUGAGUGGCGGACGGGUGAGUAGCGCGUGGGUAACCUGCCCUGUACAGGGGGAUAACAGCUGGAAACGGCUGCUAAUACCGCAUAAGCGCACGAGGAGACAUCUCCUUGUGUGAAAAACUCCGGUGGUACAGGAUGGGCCCGCGUCUGAUUAGCUGGUUGGCAGGGUAACGGCCUACCAAGGCAACGAUCAGUAGCCGGUCUGAGAGGAUGAACGGCCACAUUGGAACUGAGACACGGUCCAAACUCCUACGGGAGGCAGCAGUGGGGAAUAUUGCACAAUGGGGGAAACCCUGAUGCAGCAACGCCGCGUGAGUGAAGAAGUAUUUCGGUAUGUAAAGCUCUAUCAGCAGGGAAGAUAAUGACGGUACCUGACUAAGAAGCUCCGGCUAAAUACGUG
This 476-nucleotide ribosomal RNA is filed under the name uncultured bacterium. Its description in RNAcentral is "partial 16S ribosomal RNA". It matches the Rfam family "Bacterial small subunit ribosomal RNA", at positions 29 to 507 of the family's 1533-position model. The record is from RNAcentral.